GCAUUGGUGGUUCAGUGGUAGAAUUCUUGCUUCCUAUGCGGGAGACCCAGGUUCGAUUCUUGGCCAAUACA
This 71-nucleotide transfer RNA is filed under the name Trichechus manatus latirostris (Florida manatee). RNAcentral describes it as "tRNA-Arg (CCT) (tRNA-Arg-CCT-6-1)". It matches the Rfam family "tRNA". Rfam says of the family: Transfer RNA (tRNA) molecules are approximately 80 nucleotides in length. Their secondary structure includes four short double-helical elements and three loops (D, anti-codon, and T loops). The record is from Rfam by way of RNAcentral. Lineage: Eukaryota; Metazoa; Chordata; Mammalia; Sirenia; Trichechidae.